Molecule: unclassified non-coding RNA, 552 nt
Filed under: Hevea brasiliensis (rubber tree)
Lineage: Eukaryota; Viridiplantae; Streptophyta; Magnoliopsida; Malpighiales; Euphorbiaceae
Source: RNAcentral
GAGGAGAUUGUAGGAGAAUACCACCAGAUAUUUGACUUGGAGAAACACUAUAUGAGAAGCUAAGGUCAGCUUUUGACCAUGCAAGAACUUCCGAUUCGUAUAUAAAACUCAGCUUUCCAGGUUUUCUCAUUGAUUCCUUUAAAGGAUGACUCGUUGUCUUGCACAAAACCUCAGCUGCAGAACCGACAUUAACAUUUAACGCUAUCUUCUCCUUUUUCGACAUUUUCUUCCCCACAGGAAUGACAUAUUCCGGAAAAGUAAAAGGAACAUUCAAACUAAGAUUGCCUGAUGAGUUGUAUAGUAGUUUCUGAGACCAACUCAUGGUAAUAGACAAAGUAGUGCCCCCAUCAACCUGUGGUAUUGUGAGGGUAAAGAUAUUAGCAGUCAAGAAACCUCCAUCAACUCGUUCUAGUUUUUCAGAUGCAUUUUUACUUUUAUCUUCAAGUGCAAUAAGUGAAGUGCGAUAUGAUUUUCUAGGAUCAUCGACCUCACAACCUAGAACUGAACCCUGUUCUCCCAUAGGAAUUGCAAUGCGGCAAUCACAACUCCGAC